AGUUUCUGUGGCCUUUUUCCGCUGGACGAACUUAGCACCCCGGCCUUCGGGCAGUUAUUUUUGGACGCGGCUUUGCCCGCGGCCUAUUUUUGGUACACGGAGAUCCCUCGCAAAGUCUCGCAGCAUUCCGAGUCCGGCGGACGAAGUUGGCCAGCCCCACCCCCCAAGGCUAUAGCCCACCCGUUUUUGUGGCAUUUUUCCGCUGGACGUACUUGGCGCCCCGGCCUUCGGGCAGUUAUUUUUGGUCACGGCUGUGCCCGCGGCCUAUUUUUGGCACACGGAGGUGCCUUGCAAAGUCUCGCGCAAUUGCGAGUCCGGCGGACGAAGUUGGCCAGCCCCACCCCCCAAGGCUAUAGCCCACCCGUUUUUGUGGCAUUUUUCCGCUGGACGAACUUGGCGCUCCGGCCUUCGGGCGGUUAUUUUUGUCUACGGCUGUGCCCGCGGGCUAUUUUUGGCACACGGAGGCGCCUCGCAAUGUCUCGCACCAUUCCGACUCCGGCGGACAAAGUUGGCCGGCCCCACCCCCCAAGGCUAUAGCCCACCCGUUUUUGUGGCCUUUUUCCGCUGGACGAACUUGGCGCCUCGGCCUUCGGGCUGUUAUUUUUGGGUGCGGCUGUGCCCGCGGCCUAUUAUUGGCACACGGAGUCACAUCACAAAGUCUCGCACUAUUCCGAGUCCGGCGGACGAAGUUGGCCAGCCCCACUCCCCAAGGCUAUAGCCCACCCGUUUUUGUGGCAUUUUUCCGCUGGAUGAACUUGGCGCCCCGGCCUUCGGGCGGUUAUUUUUGGGCACGGCUGUGCCCGCAGCCUAUUUUUGGUACACGGAGGUGCCCCGCAAAGUCUCGCGCAAUUGCGAGUCCGGCGGACGAAGUUGGCCAGCCCCACCCCCCAAGGCUAUAGCCCACCCGUUUUUGUGGCAUUUUUCCGCUGGACGAACUUGGCGCCCCGGCCUUCGGGCAGUUAUUUUUGGGCGCGGCUGUGCCCGCGGCCUAUUUUUGGCACACGGAGGCGCCUCGCAAAGUCUCGCGCCAUUCCGAGUCCGGCGGACGAAGUUGGCCAGCCCCACCCCCCAAUGCUAUAGCCCAACCGGUUUUGUGGCAUUUUUCCGCUGGACGAACUUGGCGCCCCGGCCUUCGGGCGGUUAUUUUUGGGCGAGGAUGUGCCCUUGGCCCAUUUUUGGCACACGGAGGCGCCUCGCAAAGUCUCGCGGCAUUCCGAGUCCGGCGGACGAAGUUCGCCAGCCCCAUCCCACGAGGCUAUAGCCCACCCGUUUUUGUGGGCUUUUUCCGCUGGACGAACUUGGCGCCCCGGCCUUCGGGCGGUUAUUUUUGGGUCGGCUGUUCCCGCGGCCUAUUUUUGGCACACGGAGGUGCCUCGCAAAGUCUCGUGCCAUUCCGAGUCCGGCGGACGAAGUGGGCCGGCCCCACCCCCCAAGGCUAUAGCCCACCCGUUUUUGUGGCCUUUUUCCGCUGGACUAACAUGGCGCCCCGGCCUUCGGGCAGUUAUUUUUGUCACGGCUGUGCCCACGGCCUAUUUUUGGCACACGGAGGUGCCUCGCAAAGUCUCGCGCCAUUCCGAGUCUGGCGGACGAAGU
Molecule: long non-coding RNA, 1593 nt
Filed under: Citrus x clementina
Lineage: Eukaryota; Viridiplantae; Streptophyta; Magnoliopsida; Sapindales; Rutaceae
Description: Citrus clementina (C. clementina) long non-coding RNA (CCLE_LNC005897)
Source: RNAcentral